GGUGCGGGGGUACAUGCAAGGGAAAAGCGCGCAAAAGGCGGUACAUGGCUUUAGCUUCAGAUUCCAGGAUUCCUUACAUGGCUUUAGCUUCUUCUUACUGGAUUCCUAAUCAAUUCGAGUUCAUGGACACGCCUCCCAAAGCGAACGAUUGGAUUAUACCUAGUUCCAUUACCUAUUGUAUAUUAUACCUAGUUCCAUUACCUAUUGUAGUAUUAGUAAGAACAUUCCCUGAGCUCGUAUAGGCACAUGCUCCCGCUAACCCAUUAAGGAAAAAGAACACUUUCUAAAGCAUUGGGACUUACUCGCUUCUCCCCAUGAAUGAACACUGAUGGAAUCCAUCGAGAGGUCGGGUUCAACAACUUCGGAUGAUAUCUCAGCCAUAUCAAAGUAAAGAAACCUUUGAGAGUAUAGUAGUUGAAUGUGAGAAAGAGAGCCAUUUUGCGCUGAUCACGGCUGGUUCUACUAUAUGGAGGGCUCAGAUAAAGUGGAAGUGCUUUGCUUUGCUUUCCUUCACGCUGAGUGUGAACUGGAGAUUGAAGGCUGCUCGGAAGAUUGUUGAUGACAUCAAUCUGCUAGGCCCGUCUGUCGAAUCGUUUUUCAAUGCAUGCGAUCUUUCGAGUAGGAGUCGCUGGCACUGGCUUUCGAUUCCGUCCUGUCUUUUCUUUUCCGUUAAGUAUGAUCAGUCGUAGGGCUCCUUUUGCAGGAGUUUAGUUUCACGUCUGUCUCGUAGGAAAGAUCUUCUUCUAGUUUUUAGGUUAGUCAAAUCCGUUAAGCAUGGCAGUACAAGGCACUGAGUCCUUUUUCUAGCAGUCAUUGCGUAAUCGUAAGCAGCCCUUCCAGACAGCAAGUGAGAGUUUCCCGAGUGUAAGUAGGC
This 874-nucleotide long non-coding RNA is filed under the name Musa acuminata (dwarf banana). Its description in RNAcentral is "long non-coding RNA (MACU_LNC008399)". Lineage: Eukaryota; Viridiplantae; Streptophyta; Magnoliopsida; Zingiberales; Musaceae. The record is from RNAcentral.